Long non-coding RNA from Oncorhynchus tshawytscha (Chinook salmon), 1112 nucleotides. NCBI's taxonomy places the organism in Eukaryota, Metazoa, Chordata, Actinopteri, Salmoniformes, Salmonidae. The record is from Ensembl.
AGAGGGCUAGGGGGAGAGAGAGAGAGCGAGAGAGAGACUACACUUUUUAUACUAUUUACACUAUUAUACUACACUAUUAUACUACACUAUUGUAUUACACUAUUAUACUACACUAUUGUACUACACUAUUAUACUACACUAUUAUACUACACUGUUGUAUUACACUAUUAUACUACACUGUUGUAUUACACUAUUAUACUACACUAUGUCAUUACAGUAUUUUACCACAGUAUUUUAUUCUAGUCCUUGUCUGCCUUCCUUCAGUAGUGUUCCUGGGCAGUCAGUGUGCAAUGUUCUGUAGAGCAACACAACUGCAUCAGCCUGUAGUCUCAGUGUUGACAGACAAUAUCAGGCUGUAGUCUCAGUGUUGACAGACAAGAUCAGCCUGUAGUCUCAGUGUUGACAGACAAGAUCAGGCUGUAGUCUCAGUGUUGACAGACAAUAUCAGCCUGUAGUCUCAGUGUUGACAGACAAGAUCAGGCUGUAGUCUCAGUGUUGACAGACAAGAUCAGGCUGUAGUCUCAGUGCUGACAGACAAUAUCAGCAUGUAGUCUCAGUGCUGACAGACAAUAUCAGCCUGUAGUCUCAGUGUUGACAGACAAUAUCAGCCUGUAGUCUCAGUGUUGACAGACAAGAUCAGGCUGUAGUCUCAGUGUUGACAGACAAUAUCAGCCUGUAGUCUCAGUGUUGACAGACAAGAUCAGGCUGUAGUCUCAGUGUUGACAGACAAUAUCAGCCUGUAGUCUCUGUGUUGACAGACAAGAUCAGGCUGAAGUCUCAGUGUUGACAGACAAUAUCAGCCUGUAGUCUCAGUGUUGACAGACAAGAUCAGGCUGAAGUCUCCGUGUUGACAGACAAGAUCAGGCUGUAGUCUCAGUGCUGACAGACAAUAUCAGCCUGUAGUCUCAGUGUUGACAGACAAGAUCAGGCUGAAGUCUCAGUGUUGACAGACAAUAUCAGCCUGUAGUCUCAGUGUUGACAGACAAGAUCAGGCUGAAGUCUCAGUGUUGACAGACAAGAUCAGGCUGAAGUCUCAGUGUUGACAGACAAGAUCAGGCUGUAGUCUCAGUGUUGACAGACAAUAUCAGCCUGUAGUCUCAGUGUUGACAGAC